This 396-nucleotide ribosomal RNA is filed under the name uncultured bacterium. RNAcentral's name for it is "partial 16S ribosomal RNA". It matches the Rfam family "Bacterial small subunit ribosomal RNA", at positions 338 to 732 of the family's 1533-position model. The record is from RNAcentral.
CCUACGGGUGGCAGCAGUGAGGAAUAUUGGUCAAUGGCCGAGAGGCUGAACCAGCCAAGUCGCGUGAGGGAAGAAUGUCCUAUGGAUUGUAAACCUCUUUUGUCAGGAAGCAAAGUAACCCACGUGUGGGUGUUGGAGCGUACUUGAAGAAAAAGCAUCGGCUAACUCCGUGCCAGCAGCCGCGGUAAUACGGGGGAUGCGGGCGUUGUCCGGAUUUAUUGGGUUUAAAGGCGGCGAGGGGGGGUUAUCAAGUCAGAGGGAAAGGCGUGGAGCUAAACUCCAUACAGCCGUUGAAACUGAUGAUCUUGAGUGGACGAGAGGUAAGCGGAAUGCGUGGUGUAGCGGUGAAAUGCAUAGAUAGCACGAAGAACACCGAUUGCGAAGGCAGCAUACUGG